This 291-nucleotide ribosomal RNA is filed under the name uncultured bacterium. Its description in RNAcentral is "partial 16S ribosomal RNA". It matches the Rfam family "Bacterial small subunit ribosomal RNA", at positions 775 to 1067 of the family's 1533-position model. The record is from RNAcentral.
GGAUUAGAUACCCUGGUAGUCCACGCUGUAAACGAUGUGCACUAGGUGUUGGGCCGCUGAAGGCUCAGUGCCGUAGCUAACGCGUUAAGUGCACCGCCUGGGGAGUAUGCUCGCAAGGGUGAAACUCAAAGGAAUUGACGGGGGCCCGCACAAGCGGUGGAGCAUGUGGUUUAAUUCGAUGAUACGCGAGGAACCUUACCAGGGCUUGACAUAUGCAGGAAUGCGCAUGAGAGUGCGCAGCCCUUCGGGGCCUGUAUACAGGUGCUGCAUGGCUGUCGUCAGCUCGUGCUG